Molecule: ribosomal RNA, 751 nt
Filed under: Kitasatospora sp.
Lineage: Bacteria; Bacillati; Actinomycetota; Actinomycetes; Kitasatosporales; Streptomycetaceae
Description: bacterial SSU rRNA
Rfam family: Bacterial small subunit ribosomal RNA
Source: RNAcentral
GGGUGGAUCAGUGGCGAACGGGUGAGUAACACGUGGGCAAUCUGCCCUGCACUCUGGGACAAGCCCUGGAAACGGGGUCUAAUACCGGAUAUGACCUGGGACCGCAUGGUCCCGGGUGUAAAGCUCCGGCGGUGCAGGAUGAGCCCGCGGCCUAUCAGCUUGUUGGUGGGGUAAUGGCCUACCAAGGCGACGACGGGUAGCCGGCCUGAGAGGGCGACCGGCCACACUGGGACUGAGACACGGCCCAGACUCCUACGGGAGGCAGCAGUGGGGAAUAUUGCACAAUGGGCGAAAGCCUGAUGCAGCGACGCCGCGUGAGGGAUGACGGCCUUCGGGUUGUAAACCUCUUUCAGCAGGGAAGAAGCGCAAGUGACGGUACCUGCAGAAGAAGCACCGGCUAACUACGUGCCAGCAGCCGCGGUAAUACGUAGGGUGCGAGCGUUGUCCGGAAUUAUUGGGCGUAAAGAGCUCGUAGGCGGCCUGUCGCGUCGGAUGUGAAAGCCCGGGGCUCAACCCCGGGUCUGCAUUCGAUACGGGCAGGCUAGAGUGUGGUAGGGGAGAUCGGAAUUCCUGGUGUAGCGGUGAAAUGCGCAGAUAUCAGGAGGAACACCGGUGGCGAAGGCGGAUCUCUGGGCCAUUACUGACGCUGAGGAGCGAAAGCGUGGGGAGCGAACAGGAUUAGAUACCCUGGUAGUCCACGCCGUAAACGUUGGGAACUAGGUGUUGGCGACAUUCCACGUCGUCGGUGCCG